AUGCUUACCCUCUAGUAGUUGUUCGGAAGGAGAGAAUCCGAAGAAAUCCCCAAUUUAUUUGUAACUAUUAUCUACCACUCGAUACGAUCACAUCAGCAAUUCGUCCUGAAUCCUGAUACAGUUUUGUGAAUACAACUAAUUGCCAUUGACACUUUAGGCUGAUAACCUCAAAUAUGAUCAUACAAUAGCCGUCAAGAAUAGAUGAAUUUGAAUUCAUGUUCUUUUCAUUGUAUUUGAAC
This 239-nucleotide long non-coding RNA is filed under the name Arachis ipaensis. RNAcentral describes it as "long non-coding RNA (AIPA_LNC000733)". The record is from RNAcentral. Lineage: Eukaryota; Viridiplantae; Streptophyta; Magnoliopsida; Fabales; Fabaceae.